This 533-nucleotide ribosomal RNA is filed under the name uncultured Solirubrobacter sp. RNAcentral describes it as "bacterial SSU rRNA". It matches the Rfam family "Bacterial small subunit ribosomal RNA", at positions 1 to 526 of the family's 1533-position model. Lineage: Bacteria; Bacillati; Actinomycetota; Thermoleophilia; Solirubrobacterales; Solirubrobacteraceae. The record is from RNAcentral.
UAGAGUUUGAUCAUGGCUCAGAACGAACGCUGGCGGCGUGCUUAGCACAUGCAAGUGGAGCGACGAACCCGAGCUUGCUCGGGGGCAAAGCCGCGAACGGGUGAGUAGCACGUGGGUAAUCUGCCCUGAUGAUUGGGACAACCCCGGGAAACCGGGGCUAAUACCAAAUGUGCUCUUUCUACAUCAGUAGAUCGAGGAAAGGAGGCUUCGGCUUCCGCAUCGGGAUGAGCCCGCGGCCCAUUAGCUUGUUGGUGGGGUAAUGGCCUACCAAGGCUUCGAUGGGUAGCUGGUCUGAGAGGACGAUCAGCCACACUGGGACUGAGACACGGCCCAGACUCCUACGGGAGGCAGCAGUGGGGAAUCUUGCGCAAUGCGCGAAAGCGUGACGCAGCAACGCCGCGUGAGGGAAGACGGCCUUCGGGUUGUAAACCUCUUUCAGUUGGGACGAAGCCUCUGCGGUUAAUACCCGUAUGAGGUGACGGUACCUUCAGAAGAAGCCCCGGCUAACUACGUGCCAGCCGCCGCGGUAAUAC